This 1072-nucleotide long non-coding RNA is filed under the name Solanum tuberosum (potato). RNAcentral's name for it is "long non-coding RNA (STUB_LNC002200)". The record is from RNAcentral. Lineage: Eukaryota; Viridiplantae; Streptophyta; Magnoliopsida; Solanales; Solanaceae.
GAAAAUGCAGAAAUUCUGGAAAGAGAUGCAGCAGUACCAAUUGACAUUCCCAAACGAGAGAAAGAAGAUGCAAAACCAUUAAGUGAAGAUGCAAACAUAUCCGAUGUGGAUGACAAGGUUGGUAUGGAGAAGAAUGAAAAAGAGCUUGAUCAAGGCGGUAGUGCAUCAGAUGGUUUUUCAAUACCAUCACAGGAAGACGCAAUCACCACAGAGCAGCCUACAGAUACUACCAACGCAGAGGAAUCAGAAACAGUUGAGGUUCUGCAGGAGAAAAUGCAAAAUGCAGUUGACAAAGAUAUUGAAAUCCUUGAUUCAGGAAAACCAGUAGAAAAAUCGGUGGAACCUCAACUAUCCACUGGUACCAAUGACGAAGCUCGAGAGUACCAUAUUCAAGAUAAGCAGAAAAUUGGGGAGGAAAAUAAGGAGGUGCAAGGUGAGGAAUUGCCAGUUCGUGAUGAUGCUGUCGUCUCUGAACCUAAUAAUGAAGGAAAAGAGCGUAAUGUGGUGGUUGAGCAGCGGCUUGUGGAGGAGAGCUUUGAGAUGCAAGGGAACGAACCAGUGGCUGCUGAACCAGAAACUGCCGAUAAUGCUGCACAUGUGAUCGAGGAACCAGUGGAUGGAACUAAAGCUACGGCUGCUCCAGCAUCAGAAGCUGUAACUACCGAGACAGACCUGUCAAGGGAGAAAGAGCUUGGUGUAGCAGAUGACCACAACACACAUCGAUCUUGUGAUGCCGUGGAAGGUAAUUCUGUUGAUACUUCCCAUUCUUUUGGUUCUUCUACGCCUAUUGAAGUACAAGUUAUGGAUGCAAACAAGCUUAAAGAAUGGAUGAAAGUGGACAUGUCCCCAUCGUCACCUACUGCCAGCCAAGAAUCCUGUGAUAGUGAUGCGCUGUCUGAGAGCGAUAAAAAACUUAUUGAGGAGAAUGAAAAAUUAAGGGAGAUGAUGGAGAAGUUAAUUAAAUCAGGGAAUGAACAACUGACUGCCAUAUCCAGUCUUUAUGGAAGAGUUAAGGACCUGGAGAAGAGAUUGUCUAAGAAGAAGAAGCUAAAAUUGAAACGAAAUAGGGUAC